UUUUUUAAUGAAUGGUAAAAGACAUUUAUAACCUUUUGAUUAAUUUUGACAAAAAAAAAACAUGUAGUUAACUAAUAUAAACUUAAAACAUCACUCUAGUCCCUAAAUCAUCAACUCUAAACCCUAAACCACGAAACAUCAACUCAAAACUCUAAAUCCCGAAACAUCAACUCAAAACCCUAAACCCUAAACCUUCAAAUCUAAACCCUAAAACAUCAACUCUAAACCCUAAACAUAAACCCUAAACCCUAUAUUUUUAUAAACUUCGAACCCUAAACCCUAAAACUCUAAACUCUAAACCAUCAAAUCUAAACCCUAAAACAUCAACUCUAGGGUUUUAGGGUUUAGGGUUUAGAGUUUAGGGUUUAGAGUUUAGGGUUUAGAGUCGAAGGUUUAGGGUUUAGGGUUUAGAGUUGAUGUUUUAGGGUUUAGGGUUAUUUUUUUAGGGUUUAGGGUUUAGAGUUUACUUUUUAGGGUUUAGGGUUUAGUGUUUAUAGCUUAGGGUUUAGUGUUGAUGGUUUAGGGUUUAGUGUUAAUGGUUUAGGGUUUAGGGUUUAGGGUUUAGAGUUUACUUUUUAGGGUUUAGGGUUUAGAGUUGAGGUUUUAGGGUUUAGAGUUCAUAUUUCAAAAAACAUAUAGAAUUUAAGAUUGAUGGUUUAGAGUUUACGAUUUAGAGUUGAGUUUUAGGGUUUAAGGUUCGAAUUUCGAAAUAGUAUACUUCGAAAAAAGUAGAAAAAUUAUUUUUAUUUUUUAGAUUUUUCAUUUAUUUAAAUAUUUAUUUAUUAAAUAUAUAAAAAACAAGAGUAUAAGAGUCUUUUAGCAUUUAUUGAAAAAUGUAUUUUUGAAAAUGUUUCUUUGUUGGUGGUAAACAUGAAUAAUGGUACAGCAAAGUGUUAUAAGUGAAAUUGUCCCAUGAUUAUGUUACAAUAAUCCUAACAUCAUGUAUUAACUUUUAAAAGUAAUAUUAUAUUAUUUAUAAAGAAUAUUUUAAUGACUUAGUUUUUUAAAAGGAAUAUUAUAUUGGGCAAAUCUCCAAAAUAGCACAUUUCUAAGUUUAUGUCACAAAAAUAGCCUUCAAAGACUAAAAUAACCAAAAUAGCAUUUUAUCUUUUGAUAAAUUUAAUUUUUUUUUAUUUUUCAAAAUUUGAAAUCUUAUGCCAAAACUCCACUCCUCAACUCUAAACCCUAAAACCUAAACCCUAAACCCUAAACUCUAAACCUUAAACCCAAACCCUAAACCCUAAAUCCUACACCCCACCCCUUAACUCUAAACCCUAAACCCUAAACUCCACCCCUUAACUCUAAACCCUAAACCCUAAAUCCUAAAUCCCACCCCUUGACUCUAAACCCUAA
Molecule: long non-coding RNA, 1353 nt
Filed under: Brassica napus (rape)
Lineage: Eukaryota; Viridiplantae; Streptophyta; Magnoliopsida; Brassicales; Brassicaceae
Description: long non-coding RNA (BNAP_LNC024701)
Source: RNAcentral